UGGUUGAUUAUUGGGAGUUGUGGGGCUGAAAAAAGAGAAUUGUUGUCCCUCUUGGGCAGAGCUCAGGUCGUUGAGGAUAUUGGUAGUGUUGUUUUCGUUAUGGUUGGCCAUUGUGGAUCUUAGUGGGUUUUGUAAGAGUGAAACUUCGGUGACAGAAAGAUCUCCUUCGUUCCCACAGACGACGCCAAUUGAUGCUCUGAGAUCCAGAGAAAAUAGGGUUUACAGUAGUUGAGUAAG
Molecule: long non-coding RNA, 237 nt
Filed under: Manihot esculenta (cassava)
Lineage: Eukaryota; Viridiplantae; Streptophyta; Magnoliopsida; Malpighiales; Euphorbiaceae
Description: long non-coding RNA (MESC_LNC001644)
Source: RNAcentral